CGCGGUAAUUCCAGCUCCAAUAGCGUAUAUUAAAGUUGUUGCGGUUAAAAAGCUCGUAGUUGGAUCUGUGUCCCGCGCCGUCGGUUCACCGCCUGUCGGUGUUCAACUGGCGUGUAUGCGGGACGUCCUGCCGGUGGCGGUCCGGUUCCCCGGCGGUACGUAGGGGUCGUCCUUGCCUUGCUUGCGUCGUCCCGAAGGCCGCCGCGGUGUUUCCGGCCGCCUUUUCGUACCCGUCGCGGUGCUCUUUACCGAGUGUCGAGGCGGGCCGGCACGUUUACUUUGAACAAAUUAGAGUGCUUUAAGCAGGCCCUGUCCCGCCUGUAUGUUGUGUGCAUGGAAUAAUGGAAUAGGACCUCGGUUCUAUUUUUGUUGGUUUUCGGAAUCUGAGGUAAUGAUCAAUGGGGACAGGCGGGGGCAUUCGUAUUGCGACGUUAGAGGUGAAAUUCUUGGAUCGUCGCAAGACGACCGAAGCGAAAGCAUUUGCCAAGUAUGUUCUCGUCGAUCAAGAACGAAAGUUAGAGGUUCGAAGGCGAUCAGAUACCGCCCUAGUUCUAACCAUAAACUAUGCCUGCCAGCGAUCCGCCGAAGUUCCUCCGAUGACUCGGCGGGCAGCUUCCGGGAAACCAGAGCUUUUGGGUUCCGGGGGAAGUAUGGUUGCAAAGCUGAAACUUAAAGGAAUUGACGGAAGGGCACCACCAGGAGUGGAGCCUGCGGCUUAAUUUGACUCAACACGGGAAAACUCACCAGGCCCGGACACCGGAAGGAUUGACAGAUUGAGAGCUCUUUCUUGAUUCGGUGGGUGGUGGUGCAUGGCCGUUCUUAGUUGGUGGAGCGAUUUGUCUGGUUAAUUCCGAUAACGAACGAGACUCUAGCCUACUAACUAGGCGUACCCGGUAUCCACAAUCGUGCUACCGGCGAUCAAAUUUCUUCUUAGAGGGACAGGCGGCUUCUAGCAGCGAGACUAGCAAUAACAGGUCUGUGAUGCCCUUAGAUGUCCUGGGCCGCACGCGCGCUACACUGAAGGAAUCAGCGUGUCUUCCCUGUCCGAAAGGACCGGGUAACCCGCUGAACCUCCUUUGUGCUAGGGAUUGGGGCUUGCAAUUGUUCCCCAUGAACGAGGAAUUCCCAGUAAGCGCGAGUCAUAAGCUCGCGUUGAUUACGUCCCUGCCCUUUGUACACACCG
Molecule: ribosomal RNA, 1183 nt
Filed under: Hysteropterum severini
Lineage: Eukaryota; Metazoa; Arthropoda; Insecta; Hemiptera; Issidae
Description: SSU rRNA
Rfam family: Eukaryotic small subunit ribosomal RNA
Source: RNAcentral